GACGAACGCUGGCGGCGUGCUUAACACAUGCAAGUCGAACGGACAGGCCCUGCUUUUGUGGCGUGCUCGAGUGGCGAACGGGUGAGUAACACGUGAGUAACCUCCCCUUGUCUUUGGGAUAACUUCAGGAAACUCGGGCUAUUACCGGAUAGGAUCUCCUGCUGCAUGGUGGGCGUUGGAAAGUUUCGGCGGUUGGGGAUGUACUCGCGGCUUAUCAGCUUGUUGGUGUGGUAGUUGAAUACCAAGGCUGUGACGGAUAGCCGGCAUGAGAGGGGAGCCGGGGACAAGGGGACUACGAGACGGCGCAGAAGGGUACGGGAGGCAGUGGGCGGGAGUAUGACACAACGGGCGGGAGCCUGAGGCAGAGGUGCUCGGUGCGGGAUGACCGGCUACGGGUGGAAAACCGCUUUCGACGGUGACGAAGAGUGAGUGACGGUAAUGGGUAAAGAAGCACCGGCUAACUACGUG
RNAcentral lists this ribosomal RNA (468 nucleotides) under uncultured bacterium. Its description in RNAcentral is "partial 16S ribosomal RNA". It matches the Rfam family "Bacterial small subunit ribosomal RNA", at positions 28 to 507 of the family's 1533-position model. The record is from RNAcentral.